This is a non-coding RNA of Schistosoma rodhaini, 50 nucleotides long. Lineage: Eukaryota; Metazoa; Platyhelminthes; Trematoda; Strigeidida; Schistosomatidae. The record is from Rfam.
AUCCAGCUGACGAGUCCCAAAUAGGACGAAACGCGCGUCCAUCUCUGCUU